RNAcentral lists this ribosomal RNA (253 nucleotides) under uncultured bacterium. RNAcentral's name for it is "partial 16S ribosomal RNA". It matches the Rfam family "Bacterial small subunit ribosomal RNA", at positions 524 to 776 of the family's 1533-position model. The record is from RNAcentral.
GACGAGCCGAGCGAACGUUGUUCGGAAUCACUGGGCUUAAAGGGCGCGUAGGCGGGCAUCAUAGUCUGUGGUGAAAUCCGGCAGCUUAACUGUCGAAUUGCCAUGGAUACUGGGUGUCUCGAGGGAGGCAGGGGUGCGCGGAACUGAUGGUGGAGCGGUGAAAUGCGUUGAUAUCAUCAGGAACUCCGGUGGCGAAGGCGGCGCACUGGUCCUUUUCUGACGCUGAGGCGCGAAAGCCAGGGGAGCAAACGGG